RNAcentral lists this ribosomal RNA (373 nucleotides) under uncultured bacterium. RNAcentral's name for it is "bacterial SSU rRNA". It matches the Rfam family "Bacterial small subunit ribosomal RNA", at positions 527 to 898 of the family's 1533-position model. The record is from RNAcentral.
GUAGGGUGCGAGCGUUAAUCGGAAUUACUGGGCGUAAAGUGUGCGCAGGUGGCCGCGCAUGUCGAGUGUGAAAUCCCCGGGCUUAACUUGGGAAUUGCGCUCGAAACUACGUGGCUGGAGUGUGGCAGAGGAAGGUGGAAUUCCAGGUGUAGCGGUGAAAUGCGUAGAGAUCUGGAGGAACACCGAUGGCGAAGGCAGCCUUCUGGGCCAACACUGACACUCAUGCACGAAAGCGUGGGGAGCAAACAGGAUUAGAUACCCUGGUAGUCCACGCCCUAAACGAUGAUGACUAGUUGUUGGAGGAGUUAAAUCCUUUAGUAACGCAGCUAACGCGUGAAGUCAUCCGCCUGGGGAGUACGGUCGCAAGAUUAAA